CAAAGGAAUUGACGGGGGCCCGCACAAGCGGAGGAACAUGUGGUUUAAUUCGAUGAUACGCGAGGAACCUUACCCGGGCUUGAACUGUAGGCGAACGAUCCAGAGAUGGUGAGGCCCUUCGGGGCGCCUAUGGAGGUGCUGCAUGGUUGUCGUCAGCUCGUGCCGUGAGGUGUCGGCUUAAGUGCCAUAACGAGCGCAACCCCUCUCUUCAGUUGCCAUCAGGUUAGGCUGGGCACUCUGGAGACACUGCCACCGUAAGGUGUGAGGAAGGUGGGGAUGACGUCAAAUCAGCACGGCCCUUACGUCCGGGGCUACACACGUGUUACAAUGGGUGGUACAGAGAGUUGAGUGUACGCAAGUGCAUUCUAAUCAAGAAAGCCAUCCUCAGUUCGGACUGGGGUCUGCAACCCGACCCCACGAAGCUGGAUUCGCUAGUAAUCGCGCAUCAGCCAUGGCGCGGUGAAUACGUUCCCGGGCCUUGUACACACCGCCCGUCAAGCCAUGAAAGCUGGGGGCACCUGAAGUCCGUGACCGCAAGGGUCGGCCUAGGGUGAAACCGGUGAUUGGGGCUAAGUCGUAACAAGGUAGCCGUACCGGAAGGUGCGGCUGGAACACCUCCUUU
Molecule: non-coding RNA, 622 nt
Filed under: Cellulomonas carbonis T26
Lineage: Bacteria; Bacillati; Actinomycetota; Actinomycetes; Micrococcales; Cellulomonadaceae
Description: Cellulomonas sp. T26 Bacterial small subunit ribosomal RNA
Rfam family: Bacterial small subunit ribosomal RNA
Source: Rfam by way of RNAcentral